Long non-coding RNA from Mus spicilegus (steppe mouse), 2045 nucleotides. NCBI's taxonomy places the organism in Eukaryota, Metazoa, Chordata, Mammalia, Rodentia, Muridae. The record is from Ensembl.
CUAGAUCACUCCAUAAAAAUGGAUUCCUAGAAAAACACAAACCAGCUAUUUACCUUGUAAAUUUUAUUGCCCUAAAAAAAAAAAAGUAUCCCUUUUUAAUAAGGAAUCGAGGGAAGGCAGUCCUUGUCCCUCCUUUAUUGGUGAACAAGGACACACAGUCAACAGAAACUCACAAGAGGCUGCGAGUCCGAUUCAUUAGCCACUUUGUCUCGUAAAACCCAGCAUUUUUAUUAAAAGAGGACGAGGAUAGCCAAACGCUCUGCUCUUUUUUAAGAAAACUGCUUUUAAUGUCAGGCAAGACUUGGUUUGGUUUUUUUUUUUUUUCCCUUAAUAAUUUCUCAAACAAAGCUCAGACUCUCCCGACUCCACGCCUGUUCCUCCAGCCGCAGGAGGGAAAGGGAUUUCUGAAUCCAUCUGACAUGUCGGAUUUCUUUGUGGCAUCCACUCCAUCGCUCAGCAGCCAGCCAUGAUGUCAUAAGCCCAUCAGAUUUCCGAUUCCUCACUGGAGAGACAGGGACACUUCAAAUGCAGCCAAUUGCACCAAAGAGCAGAUCGGCGGAAUCAAGGUCUCCUGCCUCAUCUUACUACCCUGGGGAAAAGGGGGCUGCUGAACCCGAGGCUUGGGGCUCCCACCCGCACAAGUCGCCAUAACCAAGAGCCUAAGAUUCUGGAGACGCCGCGGGGUCUUCGUGUGUGCGAGCUGCCCCUUUCCCCUCAGGGAGUUACUCAACGCACUCCAGCAAACUUUCCAGAAGCGUCUACAGCUUCCCGUGGCUCUGCAGCACUACCAACCAUCAACUCGCGUCCACAGUCUCGCUUGCUCCCGGCUACCUGGAGGUCCCCCGAGUCCCAGGUCCGCGCGCACCUCCACACACUCUCCAGCCACUGCGGACCUCAGCCUUGGGGAUCAGUCUGUCCCCGUUUCAGAUCUCCCGGGCGCCUCCUCCGCACCACCUGCGCUCAUCUACACCGCCUCGGGGGUCCUCGGGUCGCUUGCGUCUACACAGCUUCAGCAGUCUCCGGGUCUACACAACCCAGCACAUGAGCGAUGCCCUCAAGGUUCACCCAGUGUCUCAUCCCAGUGCCUACCUUGCCUACUACAGUUCCUCAGGCUCCCGUCCUGGUUCACACAUUUUGCAAUCUUGUCAGUAGAGAAAGGAAAGGAAAUCUUGUAAUCCUCCUGCAGCCAUGUGGUGUUUACCCCUAACCCCCUUCUCCGUUUUUUUAGUUGUUUUGUUCUUUUUUUUUUUUUUUUUUUUUUUUUUUUUUUGCCUUUAGAACAAUAUUCAUGCCCAACGGCCGCAAGCUGCGGGCUCCAGGCAAACGCAGCUGGCUGCGGGGGCGUGGCCCUGGGCGGAGAGAGGGCGUGGUCUGGGCGGGCAAAGCGAAGUGUCUCUGCCCUGGCCUCCCUCCGCUAGGAAACCGUGGCCUGCGACCAAGGCUCCUGUUCCAGCUCACGAUUGGUCAGCCCAGUCGCGAUGCUGAUGCCUAAUUGGCUGAGACGAAGAAGACUCAGAGGUGGUGGUGGUGGUGUGUAGAUUUUAUUCUUUGCCUUUUUUUUUCCCCCUGAGGCGGCCGCUGCUCUGUGGGUUCCUCCUGAACUCUGCAGCCUUUUACUCUCUAACACAGUGCUCCCCAUCGUAAUGUUUAAUCCCACCUCGAAUGAUAACUACGUUUCUUUGUCCUUCUCCACCUCCAUGAGGUCAGGACUCGGGGUUUCAACCGCUUAGUAGUGUAGCCCCAGUGCCUGCCUUAUAGUAGGUGUAUCAAAAACAUUUGUGGAUUAUAUUAAUAGAAAUGGUGCACGUGGGGUCUUGGAGCUAUAUUUAACGCUGGCAACAGUCCUAAGGGGAAACAGAGGUACAGAGAUUGCAGCAACCACCGGCCUGAUUGUGGUUACAUAUAGGCUUAAUAUGUAGGCUCCAGCUUUGUAAACAGCAAUGCCCUGUGGGGUAUCAGAACCUGCUUCUCACGUGUCCAGUGUUAGACUAAAGCAAGAAGAGGGUCGCACUAUAAGUUAUUUCAGUGAAUGUGCUGUCCCUAGC